UGCCCGGCUCCGCAAUCCCGACCUUUAAGGGGCAGAAGUGUCAUAUGACGCAGGAAUGACUGCCAAAUGUCAGCCAGUUUUAACAUACUGUCUUGGCAGAGCACAGAGAUGCUCAGAGAGGAGACAUGGUAUUAAUUCUGCUAGAGACACUGGUAGUAUCAGUGUCCUGGUCCAAAGAGAUUUUGGGUUCACUUUUUGUUGUUGUUGUUUUGAUUUUUUUUUUUUUUUUUUUUUUUUGUUGCUGUUGUUGUUUGUGGGGGGGUAUUUGUUGGUUUUGGGGUUUUGGGGUUUUUUUGUUUGUUUGGGGGUUUUUUGUUUCAUUGUUUGAUUGGGGUUUUUUGCUUUGUUUUGGUUUGGUUUGGUUUUGGUUUUUUUUCCAUUAUUUUGUGGGUACUCUGUGGCUGACAAACUACUGAAGGAAAUCCUAAGGCUUAUAGCAGCGACAAAGGCUGACUGCAUAGAAGAGAGAAGCUGAAACACUGUAGCUGAAGGGAACCCCCUUGAAUUAACGCCUGUUCAUAGUACAUCCUUAGAGAUGAGGAAAGAUGUAACGAGGAGCUUUGAGCAGUUACUUGAGAUGUUGCAAUAGUAAGAAACUGAAUGUCCAUAAUUGAUAUGGCUGUAGAUGUAGCCAGGGCAGAUGGAAACAAGAUCGUUCAGCUUUCUGCGCACAGGAAGGGAACAGUAUUGCCUUCAACCCCAGCAGCUAGUAACAGAAAUUCAAACUGUGGCUGAGCAACGCGUGUUUUCAUGUCACAGGGGCUGCCAUGGCAGUAGCACACACUGCUGCUCUGGAGGGAAUGACAGCUUCCGAACCAUCCAGCGGGGACUGAGGGUCCCUCUUUUACACAGAGACAGUCCUGCUCCACCGGGAAGCCAACGAGCUGAACCUCAAGACAAAAUUAAAGAGCUCAGGUGCUGGAUCAGGACCUUAUUAAAAGUGAGCAGGUAUCUCCUGCUGCUACUUCUGCUGCCCUGUUGUUGUGGUUUUAUCUACUGCCACCCUUUGACUAUCUCAAGUAACCAAGCAUCAGCACUGGUGACAGCUGAUCAGGAAUUAGAGGGCUUCUUGCCAAUGGCUUUACAGGAUGCAGAAGAACUGUAGAUAAUUAGAUUUUGUGGUGCCAUGUGAGAGCAGAAUCCCAAGAGGAAGAAAUCGGAUCAGAAGUCUUGGUGGUUUUAGGCAAAAUAGCUCUGAUGCUUGAGGGACCUGCUGAAGAUAAGUUUUGUGCACUAAAGAAAUUACGUGUUGGAUGAGAGCCAUUUAAUGCACUAGGACAUCCUCUGGAAAGAGCAAGGAAAGUCAGAACUUGUAAA
Passer domesticus (house sparrow) is the source of this 1317-nucleotide long non-coding RNA. RefSeq lists it as uncharacterized. The record is from RefSeq and is a predicted model, not a curated record. The transcript has 3 exons. Lineage: Eukaryota; Metazoa; Chordata; Aves; Passeriformes; Passeridae.